This 22-nucleotide microRNA is filed under the name Bovine leukemia virus. Its description in RNAcentral is "blv-miR-B2-5p". Its record names the gene blv-miR-B2-5p. The record is from miRBase by way of RNAcentral. Lineage: Riboviria; Pararnavirae; Artverviricota; Revtraviricetes; Ortervirales; Retroviridae.
AUGACUGAGUGUAGCGCAGAGA